GCCGCUGGCAGGGGCAGCAAAUGGCAGCCCCUUCCCGCAGCAUCCAUCCGCGGCUGCACGGCACCGAGGCAUUGUGGGAAACUCCGUGCCUCCACUCCCCCUCCCCGACCAAUCAGAGGCUACCUCUCUCCUUCUCCCUCUCCCUCCCCCGGCCAGCCCGCGCCCUCCGGCCGCCCCCCACCCCCAAGCCUUUCCCUAAAUCCUGAGCAAAGCCAAGGGCUGAACCCGAACUCUGCCCGGAGGCGACUGGCUGCCAGAGAGGAGGAGGAGAGGGAACGAGGAGCCCCCGGGCGAGGGGCGCUGGGGCACCAGCACUGGCCUCCGGGAAGAAGAGCGCCCGGGGAAACUCGGCGGAGAGCGUGCCGCGCCCUGGUUAAAGCCGGAGGGAACGGGGACCAGGACCAGAGAAUCGCUCUGCGCUGGCAGUUGCCGAUCACCGGCUGAUAGCAUUCGGGAAGUAGAAGUGAGGACCCGAAGGAGAGCAGGGGCUCGCCCAAGGACGUUUCAAACUACCAGGACCCCAAGGCUGAAACCCUAUCUUGCAGGCUCUGCGGAAGCUAACUGUACGCCUCGUGCCCAGUUUCUUUCUAUGAUUAUAGAAAAUUCUGUGCGGUUUGAACGGUGCGCUACAAAGUGUUUUAAAAUAGACCACUUUCUAAAUUAGGGGUUUCCUCCCAAGAAAUAACCGCUGUCAGCAAACAUGAGAAACACCUCAAAGUAGAUGUUUGUAACCAAACUAUAUACGUCCAUGUAGGCUGCUGUAAGAAACCCGACCAUGAGGAGUUUCAGGGUGGCACUGCGUGACUAGGAACACGUUGUUUGUUUGUUCCUCUAAAUUAGGAGACUGAGCAAGCUACCUUAAACGUCUUCCAUCUCCAACAUUCUGUAAUUCUCCUCACACUGGUAUAUUACAAUAAGACAAAAGCAAAGGCAUUUCCAGAGGAGUGAGGAAAGGUUAUAAAAAUAAAAACAGCUAGCAAUUGUUAAGCCCUUGCUUUUACAUGACCAGUGUUGUGCUGAGCACUUCACACAUCCACCGCCAUACGUUUUCGUAACACCCCUCAAGUGUGAGUAGCUUUUCUCAUUGCUCAAGCAUGUGCAAGUAGAAAUUGGCAAAGCUGGGAAUCAUGUCCAGGCUGCGAGAUGGCAGGUCUUUACACUUCACCCAGAGGCAAUCACUCUUUCUACAGAGGGGACCCUCAGGCAUUUCAACAGCAAGAUCCAAACAUUGAGGGGAUCCCUAAGACCAAGCAAAUGUUGUCAUAAUUGAAUUACUGGACUCACUUUCUCAUGACUCUUGCUCCCAGUCAUACCUUCUGUAUCCAUUCCCCACAUGACUUCAAGACAUUUCUGCUAUGCUACCCCUUUACUUUAAAAUGUUCUGGUUUUAUCAUAUGGUCAUUAGUGUAAAGUCUAACAUGUUAUCUCCUCUUCCUUCUUGUGUCAUCCCUAAUAUUAUUGUUUACUCCCACACCUCCAUCAGAUCUUUAGAAACCUCCAUUCUAGACCAUGAUGGACCCCCAUCCAGUAGGCUCCUACUCUACUAUUCUAGUAAGCUUGGACCACUAUAACUGUUUGUCACUUGUCUAUCUCUCCCUGUGUAUGUAGAGGCUGUACGCUGUCAUAUCCCCAUCAUCACAAAUAAGCAUACAAUGUAAUAACAUACCAAGUUGUGUAUAUUGUAAGCCACAAUUAAGUGUCAACAAAAAAGGAAAUGUACAUCAUUUUGAACAUAUAAACAUAUGCUUCAACUACUCAUUAUAAAAGAAAUCAAUUUUAAACUAUAAUAUCAUUUGCAGAAUAAAUAGUUUGAUAGUGUGGGGGUAGGAAAACCAACCCCUUUUCAAAUUGUUGGUAUAGCUUAAUUGGUACAGUCUCUCUGAUGGGAAAUUUGGCAAUAUGCAUCAACAUUUGAAAUGCACAUUCUAAUUAAUAUACCAAUUCCACUUGCAGAAAUUUGUCCUCUGCCAUUCUUGUAAGUGUACUCAAAACUUCGACUGGAAUCAACCUAAAUCAUUAAUUUAUUGUUAUAAUACUAAUGCAUUAUUAGUAGUAUAUAUAUACUAGCUAGUAUAUUAGUAAUAGUAUAAGUUAUAAUUACAU
RNAcentral lists this long non-coding RNA (2103 nucleotides) under Ictidomys tridecemlineatus (thirteen-lined ground squirrel). RNAcentral's name for it is "lncRNA (ENSSTOG00000029649.1)". The record is from RNAcentral. Lineage: Eukaryota; Metazoa; Chordata; Mammalia; Rodentia; Sciuridae.